This 429-nucleotide ribosomal RNA is filed under the name Triticum aestivum (bread wheat). RNAcentral describes it as "partial small subunit ribosomal RNA". The record is from RNAcentral. Lineage: Eukaryota; Viridiplantae; Streptophyta; Magnoliopsida; Poales; Poaceae.
AUGGUACUAGGUGUUGUCCGUGCUGCAUUUGAUGGCCAUGGUCAAAAGCCAACUCUUCCUCCUCCGGGAUCGAUUUCAUUUCCAGCUUGCUCUGCCACGGAUGGAUCUUCAGUCAUCCAUGCCGUUCGUGUUGUGCUCCCGUCGCUGGCCGUGUGUGAGUGGUGUGACCUGCACACUCUAUUGGCGGAGGAAGCAGGCAGUUGCAGGCAGAGGAAGCAGCUUGCUACUUGCAGAGGAAGAUUAGGAUUGCAUAGCACGAUUAGAAUGGCUCAUUUUAUGGUUUUGGUCUGGAUCGGUAAACCGGGAAUUGAUAUUUGUUUCUUGGUGCAGGAGCUUCAAGGCAACAGGGUUAGCAGGAUUCAUGCCAACAAAUUCUAUGAUUUCCUUCCCAAAUCUGAAAUUGUACAUGCACUCGUGUAUGAAUGUUGA